RNAcentral lists this ribosomal RNA (468 nucleotides) under uncultured bacterium. RNAcentral's name for it is "partial 16S ribosomal RNA". It matches the Rfam family "Bacterial small subunit ribosomal RNA", at positions 28 to 507 of the family's 1533-position model. The record is from RNAcentral.
GACGAACGCUGGCGGCGGGCUUAACACAUGCAAGUCGAACGGAAAGGCCCUGCUUUUGUGGGGUGCUCGAGUGGCGAACGGGUGAGUAACACGUGAGUAACCUGCCCUUGACUUUGGGAUAACUUCAGGAAACGGGGGCUAAUACCGGAUAGGAGCUCCUGCUGCAUGGUGGGGGUUGGAAAGUUUCGGCGGUUGGGGAUGGACUCGCGGCUUAUCAGCUUGUUGGUGGGGUAGUGGAUUACCAAGGCUUUGGCGGGUAGCCGGCCUGAGAGGGUGAACGGCCACAUUGGGACUGAGAUACGGCCCAGACUCGAACGGGAGGCAGCGGUGGGGAAUAUUGCACAAUGGGCGGAAGCCUGAUGCAGAAACGUCGCGUGCGGGAUGACGGCCUUCGGGUUGUAAACCGCUUUCGCUUGUGACGAAGCGUGAGUGACGGUAAUGGGUAAAGAAGCACCGGCUAACUACGUG